GACGAACCGUCCAAACGUUAUUCGGAAUUACUGGGCUUAAAGGGUGCGUAGGCGGCUCUGCAAGUUGGGUGUGAAAUCCCUCGGCUCAACCGAGGAAUGGCGCCCAAAACUGUGGAGCUCGAGGGAGACAGAGGUGAGUGGAACUUGUGGUGGAGCGGUGAAAUGCGUUGAUAUCACAAGGAACACCGGUGGCGAAAGCGGCUCACUGGGUCUCUUCUGACGCUGAGGCACGAAAGCUGGGGGAGCGAACGGGAUUAGAUACCCGCGUAGUCCCU
RNAcentral lists this ribosomal RNA (275 nucleotides) under uncultured prokaryote. Its description in RNAcentral is "partial 16S ribosomal RNA". It matches the Rfam family "Bacterial small subunit ribosomal RNA", at positions 524 to 798 of the family's 1533-position model. The record is from RNAcentral.